RNAcentral lists this ribosomal RNA (252 nucleotides) under uncultured bacterium. RNAcentral describes it as "partial 16S ribosomal RNA". It matches the Rfam family "Bacterial small subunit ribosomal RNA", at positions 524 to 776 of the family's 1533-position model. The record is from RNAcentral.
UACAGAGGGUGCGAGCGUUAAUCGGAAUUACUGGGCGUAAAGCGUGCGUAGACGGUCAUUUAAGUCGGAUGUGAAAGCCCCGGGCUCAACCUGGGAAUUGCAUUCGAGACUGAAUAGCUAGGGUACGGUAGAGGGAAGCGGAAUUUCCGGUGUAGCGGUGAAAUGCGUAGAUAUCGGAAGAACAUCAGUGGCGAAAGCGGCUUCCUGGACCAGUACCGACGUUCAGGCACGAAAGCGUGGGGAGCAAACAGG